Molecule: long non-coding RNA, 720 nt
Organism: Cyprinus carpio carpio
Lineage: Eukaryota; Metazoa; Chordata; Actinopteri; Cypriniformes; Cyprinidae
Source: Ensembl
GAGCAACCUGUGAGCAGUAACAUUUUACCUUAGGCCUAACUCUAAACUAAACCUAAAGUCUGGAUGGAUGAUAGGAAUAAUCUUUAACAAUGAUGUUAAUCCAGGAUCAAAACUGAGAUUUCUGGGUCACCAGCUCUGGAGGAUAUUGGGAUUUUCAUUUGGCCUUGGACACUGAUGAGGCAGCUAGUGAGGCAAACAUGUUGGAGUGGUUCAGGUCUUCAAACAUGCUGGGUAAUCAUGAAGUAGAUCCCUGAAGGCUGGCUUCAUUUGUCAUUCUGUCAUUUAAGCCAAUGGUAACGUCAAGCAGAACGAGGUAGAGUCAAAGUUUUGCUGUCUCAGCAGGGAUGUUCAGAGAGAAUUCUGUCAUCGCAGGACCAUUGAGGGGGUCAGAUCCUCCUGCAAAAAUAAACACAGAUGCAUACUGGCAGGGCUCUUUUAGAAAGCGUUCAUCACUCCUCUCUGCAGGUGUCCAUCUGCGGGUGUCAAUGAAACCAUAUUACGACCAGAUACCAUAUUCAUAAUCAUCUAUAAUUAAAAUGACAUAACAUCAUACCACUGUCAUGCUUGGUGAUUAUAAAUGAGUGCCCAACAACAAAGAAGUAAUCCACAAUAGGCUUUUAUUAAUAAAUCCACAAGGAACACAGGGGAAUCACCAGAACCUAUGUAACACAAAAUGUAGACACAAACAAUAACUGGCAAGGAACUGAACAGAGCAGGGAG